RNAcentral lists this long non-coding RNA (378 nucleotides) under Struthio camelus australis. RNAcentral's name for it is "lncRNA (ENSSCUG00000013014.1)". Lineage: Eukaryota; Metazoa; Chordata; Aves; Struthioniformes; Struthionidae. The record is from RNAcentral.
AUGCAGUGCCCUGGGAACGUGGGUGCGAGUAACUACCGGAGCCACAGCAGGGCCAGGAGGCCCAAGGGAAGGCUGAGGCCUGGCAACGGUGGACUCUUGGAGGCGUGGGACGAGGCUCGGAGCUCCACACCGUACAGCAGCACCUUGCGGGUUGAUCUCGGCUGACUUUUCUCCCCUGAGCCUCUGCAGCAACGGGUUGGUUCAGCUCUCUCAAAAGGUCGUGCCGACCCUGGCCAACAGCUGCGCCCACCCCGGCGGGGGGGUGACACAAACCCAGGCCUUCGUCUUCUACCUCCAGCCGGCUGUGAGCGCUUCGCACCCGUCGAGGCGAGGACGGAGACGCCCCGGCCCAACGGUCGCCCGAGCCCAACGGUCGCC